GAUGAACGCUGGCGGCGUGCCUAAUACAUGCAAGUCGAGCGAACAGACGAGGAGCUUGCUCCUUUGACGUUAGCGGCGGACGGGUGAGUAACACGUGGAUAACCUACCUAUAAGACUGGGAUAACUUCGGGAAACCGGAGCUAAUACCGGAUAACAUGUUGAACCGCAUGGUUCAACAGUGAAAGACGGUCUUGCUGUCACUUAUAGAUGGAUCCGCGCCGCAUUAGCUAGUUGGUAAGGUAACGGCUUACCAAGGCAACGAUGCGUAGCCGACCUGAGAGGGUGAUCGGCCACACUGGAACUGAGACACGGUCCAGACUCCUACGGGAGGCAGCAGUAGGGAAUCUUCCGCAAUGGGCGAAAGCCUGACGGAGCAACACCGCGUGAGUGAAGAAGGUCUUCGGAUCGUAAAACUCUGUUAUUAGGGAAGAACAAAUGUGUAAGUAACUAUGCACGUCUUGACGGUACCUAAUCAGAAAGCCACGGCUAACUACGUG
RNAcentral lists this ribosomal RNA (497 nucleotides) under uncultured bacterium. RNAcentral's name for it is "partial 16S ribosomal RNA". It matches the Rfam family "Bacterial small subunit ribosomal RNA", at positions 28 to 507 of the family's 1533-position model. The record is from RNAcentral.